AGUGAACGCUGGCGGUAGGCCUAACACAUGCAAGUCGAACGGCAGCACAGUAAGAGCUUGCUCUUACGGGUGGCGAGUGGCGGACGGGUGAGGAAUACAUCGGAAUCUACUUUUUCGUGGGGGAUAACGUAGGGAAACUUACGCUAAUACCGCAUACGACCUACGGGUGAAAGCAGGGGAUCUUCGGACCUUGCGCGAUUGAAUGAGCCGAUGUCGGAUUAGCUAGUUGGCGGGGUAAAGGCCCACCAAGGCGACGAUCCGUAGCUGGUCUGAGAGGAUGAUCAGCCACACUGGAACUGAGACACGGUCCAGACUCCUACGGGAGGCGGCAGUGGGGAAUAUUGGACAAUGGGCGCAAGCCUGAUCCAGCCAUACCGCGUGGGUGAAGAAGGCCUUCGGGUUGUAAAGCCCUUUUGUUGGGAAAGAAAAGCAGCAGGUUAAUACCCCGCUGUCCUGACGGUACCCAAAGAAUAAGCACCGGCUAACUUCGU
This 491-nucleotide ribosomal RNA is filed under the name uncultured bacterium. Its description in RNAcentral is "partial 16S ribosomal RNA". It matches the Rfam family "Bacterial small subunit ribosomal RNA", at positions 29 to 506 of the family's 1533-position model. The record is from RNAcentral.